CGCCUGAUGCCGCUGGGCGAUGAUGUCGCCUUCAUCCCCGGCCACGGCCCAGGCUCCACCCUGGGCGAGGAGAGGG
This 76-nucleotide transfer RNA is filed under the name Pararhodospirillum photometricum DSM 122. RNAcentral describes it as "tRNA-Lys". The record is from RNAcentral. Lineage: Bacteria; Pseudomonadati; Pseudomonadota; Alphaproteobacteria; Rhodospirillales; Rhodospirillaceae.